Molecule: ribosomal RNA, 368 nt
Filed under: uncultured bacterium
Lineage: Bacteria
Description: bacterial SSU rRNA
Rfam family: Bacterial small subunit ribosomal RNA
Source: RNAcentral
UGUAGCAAUACAAUUGAUGGCGACCGGCAAACGGGUGCGGAACACGUACACAACCUUCCAAUAAGUGGGGAAUAGCCCAGAGAAAUUUGGAUUAAUACCCCGUAACAUAGCGAUGUGGCAUCACAUUGCUAUUAUAGAUUUUUCGCUCAUUGAUGGGUGUGCGGCUGAUUAGAUAGUUGGCGGGGUAACGGCCCACCAAGUCUACGAUCAGUAGCUGAUGUGAGAGCAUGAUCAGCCACACGGGCACUGAGACACGGGCCCGACUCCUACGGGAGGCAGCAGUAAGGAAUAUUGGACAAUGGACGCAAGUCUGAUCCAGCCAUGCCGCGUGAAGGAUUAAGGUCCUCUGGAUUGUAAACUUCUUUUAU